UAGCAUACCCUAUUCACCUGCGAAUUUUUUCUGAGAAAUUUAAAACGAAAAGUAUUAAAUCUUGUACUAUAUCAUCCUGCAGAAAUCUGAGUCUCGCGGCUAGUCUUCCAUUUCCUUCCACCGGGGUGCCAUUUCCGUCAAUUAACAGCCGAUUGGCACCGCCGAACCUCGUUUUCCUGCGCAUGUUUCACCUCACUGUUUUGCUGUUGUGUUUUUAUGGUGACUGGGUGUUGUGAAUAAUGGUUUGUUCUCUAUCAGGUAGAUUAUCAACUAAGUUGUUAAACAUAUCAAUUGUUUCUUUCUGCAAAGCGAAGAAAUUGGCGAAAGCUGAAGGGAUUUUAGUUGACGGUAUAAGAUUGGGAAUACUCCCUGAUGUUGUAACUUAUAACACGUUGAUUGAUGCUUAUUGUCACUUUGUUAGUGUAGAUGCAGCUUAUUCUAUUCUUAACCGAAUGAGGGACGCAGGAAUUAGCCCUGAUGUUAUUACUUAUAACUCUUUGAUUGCUGGUGCGGCCAGGAAGUGCCUAUUAUCCCGUUCAUUGGAUCUGUUUGAUGAAAUGCUUCGAAUGGGUAUACCUCCUGAUGCAUGGAGUUACAACUCAUUGAUGCAUUGCUUCUUUAAAUUAGGUAAACCAGAGGAAGCCAAUAGGAUGUUUCGAGAUAUUUUACUCAGUGAUUUGGCUCCCAGUGCAGCUACAUUUAACAUCAUGAUUAAUGGACUUUGCAAGAAUGGCUAUACAAAUAAUGCCAUGAUGUUAUUUAGGAAUUUACAGAGGCAUGGAUUUGUUCCUCAGAUAAUUACUUAUAAUAUUCUUAUAAAUGGGCUUUGCAAGGCGGGGCGAUUGAAGGAAGCAAGGAGGAUUCUGAAGGAGCUUGGGGAAUCAGGUCAUUUUCCAAAUGCUAUAACGUACUCUACAGUUAUGAAAUGCUGCUUUCGAUCGAAGAAUUUUGAUCAAGGUUUUGAGAUAUUGUCAGAAAUGAAGAGUAAAGGAUUUACAUUCGACGGAUUUGGUUACUGUACAGUGAUUGCUGCAUUACUUAAGUCAGGUAGGAUAGAAACAGCAACUGAGUGUAUGAAGGAGAUGGUUAGCAAUGGUAUUCAGCUUGAUAUUGUUUCUUAUAACACCCUAAUUAAUUUAUAUUGUAAAGAAGGUAACUUAGAAGCUGCCUAUAUGUUACUGGAUGAGAUGGAGAGAAGAGGUUUGGAUUGUGACAGUUAUACCCACACUAUUAUGAUUGAUGGGUUGUGUAAGGCACGCAAUAUCAAGGGUGCCCAGCAACAUUUAGCUUACAUGAAUACGAUGGGCUUUGAUUCUAACUUGGUGGCCUACAACUGUGUGGUUGAUGGAUUGUUCAAAGUUGGUCAGAUUGAUAAUGCAGUGAAAAUGUUUGAAUCGAUGGAGAUAAAGGAUUCAUUUACUUACACUUCAGUGGUGUACAACCUUUGCAAGGCUGGUCGGUUUCAUAGUGCAUCCAAGCUAUUAUUAAUUUGUUUGAGAAGUGGCAUGAAAAUUCUGAAGUCUGCUCAACGAGCUGUCCUUGAUGGUCUUCGUUAUUUUGGAUAUACAGCAGAGGCUAAGAAGCUUCGGUCCAAAAUUCAUAAGGCCCGAAGACUACACCAUUGAGUUGGAUAUGAUUUUUACAUCACAUUAUGGAAGUUGGUUUUUUCUUCCAAGGUUGAUCUAUACAAAGAUCCAACACCAUGUACAUCUGCUCUAUUGUUCUUUAUUAACGUCUUUUGUUUGAGCCAAAAAUGCUUACUGAAUCAAUAUGCAUCAGUUAUGUAACAGUGGAUGUUACUUUGCUCAGAAAGCUGUUUGUCUUACUUCCCAAAAUUUGGACAAUCUCCAAGAAAUUGUAUGGUACAUUGGUUAAUAUUAUUGUAAACCCUCUGUAAACAAACCUCAAUUUAUUUGACCACUACUGAUGAGGAAUUCUUUAGAGGUUCUAUUUCUGGUGCGUGUAUUGAUUAUUUUCUGACCAGAGAAGCUUCCGAAAAAGUUCUAUCUUUUUCGUCAUAUAAUUUUUCCUUGAAAAACAAAAUGCUUGGCAGAGCUGUACAUGCUUUAUAAUAUGUGAUUCUCUGAAGAUUAUAUGGUAUAUUCAUCAAUAUGAUUGAAUAUCUGUUGAUCAUAGGCCAUUUACCUUUGCACCAGCUGCAAGCUUUAGGGGUAGCUGCUAUGGGAAGUAACUUCCACGUGUGAGGGGGUUUUCCGGACUGUAAAGUUGUAUGGAGAGCCAGAGAUGCUAAGCAGGGAUGAUCUUGGUUCCAAAGAUGGAAAAUUGUAUCAGUGGAAACUCAAAUUUUACCCAUAUGAUUCCAGAAAUGCUACUUCUGUUGGUUGAUUAUAGGCAAGGAAUGUUCAAUCUAACUGUAAGUGCUAUCAUCGUGAAAGUUUAAUCAGAUAAUAACUUAUCACUCUAAUGCAGCUAUUGAAUGCCAUGACAACAAUUUGAUUAUUGAACUUGGGUGACUUACCUUUA
Molecule: RNA transcript, 2484 nt
Organism: Mangifera indica (mango)
Lineage: Eukaryota; Viridiplantae; Streptophyta; Magnoliopsida; Sapindales; Anacardiaceae
Gene name: putative pentatricopeptide repeat-containing protein At4g17915
Exons: 4
Source: RefSeq, a predicted model, not a curated record